AGUGAACGCUGGCGGUAGGCCUAACACAUGCAAGUCGAACGGCAGCACAGUAAGAGCUUGCUCUUACGGGUGGCGAGUGGCGGACGGGUGAGGAAUACAUCGGAAUCUACUUUUUCGUGGGGGAUAACGUAGGGAAACUUACGCUAAUACCGCAUACGACCUACGGGUGAAAGCAGGGGAUCUUCGGACCUUGCGCGAUUGAAUGAGCCGAUGUCGGAUUAGCUAGUUGGCGGGGUAAAGGCCCACCAAGGCGACGAUCCGUAGCUGGUCUGAGAGGAUGAUCAGCCACACUGGACCUGAGACACGGUCCAGACUCCUACGGGAGGCAGCAGUGGGGAAUAUUGGACAAUGGCGCAAGCCUGAUCCAGCCAUACCGCGUGGGUGAAGAAGGCCUUCGGGUUGUAAAGCCCUUUUGUUGGGAAAGAAAAGCAGCAGGUUAAUACCCCGCUGUUCUGACGGUACCCAAAGAAUAAGCACCGGCUAACUUCGUG
This 491-nucleotide ribosomal RNA is filed under the name uncultured bacterium. RNAcentral describes it as "partial 16S ribosomal RNA". It matches the Rfam family "Bacterial small subunit ribosomal RNA", at positions 29 to 507 of the family's 1533-position model. The record is from RNAcentral.